AGUGAACGCUGGCGGUAGGCCUAACACAUGCAAGUCGAACGGCAGCACAGUAAGAGCUUGCUCUUACGGGUGGCGAGUGGCGGACGGGUGAGGAAUACAUCGGAAUCUACUUUUUCGUGGGGGAUAACGUAGGGAAACUUACGCUAAUAUCGCAUACGACCUACGGGUGAAAGCAGGGGAUCUUCGGACCUUGCGCGAUUGAAUGAGCCGAUGUCGGAUUAGCUAGUUGGCGGGGUAAAGGCCCACCAAGGCGACGAUCCGUAGCUGGUCUGAGAGGAUGAUCAGCCACACUGGAACUGAGACACGGUCCAGACUCCUACGGGAGGCAGCAGUGGGGAAUAUUGGACAAUGGGCGCAAGCCUGAUCCAGCCAUACCGCGUGGGUGAAGAAGGCCUUCGGGUUGUAAAGCCCUUUUGUUGGGAAAGAAAAGCAGCAGGUUAAUACCCCGCUGUUCUGACGGUACCCAAAGAAUAAGCACCGGCUAACUUCGU
Molecule: ribosomal RNA, 491 nt
Filed under: uncultured bacterium
Lineage: Bacteria
Description: partial 16S ribosomal RNA
Rfam family: Bacterial small subunit ribosomal RNA
Source: RNAcentral